UAAGUCCUACAGAUGUCCUUUGGAUGGACUAAUCAAUGUGGUUUUCAAUAGAGACAUUUACACUCAGAGGCAGUUUCUGAGUUUAUAUUAGACUAUAAGGCAGUUUCAACUCCUAGGACACUUUUUCUUAAUCUAUUUCAUUCACUACUAACUAAAUUGUAACUAGAGCAUAAUCUGUUGGACCCACUGCUUUUUCAUUUUUUUUUCUUCUUUUCUCUUUCUCAAUCGUGUUAUCUUUUUCAGAUCUUGUUUCUUUUUCAGUUGACUAAUUU
Molecule: long non-coding RNA, 272 nt
Filed under: Brassica rapa (field mustard)
Lineage: Eukaryota; Viridiplantae; Streptophyta; Magnoliopsida; Brassicales; Brassicaceae
Description: long non-coding RNA (BRAP_LNC006522)
Source: RNAcentral